AUACAUGCAAGUCGAGCGAGCGGAACUAACAGAUUUACUUCGGUAAUGACGUUAGGAAAGCGAGCGGCGGAUGGGUGAGUAACACGUGGGGAACCUGCCCCAUAGUCUGGGAUACCACUUGGAAACAGGUGCUAAUACCGGAUAAGAAAGCAGAUCGCAUGAUCAGCUUUUAAAAGGCGGCGUAAGCUGUCGCUAUGGGAUGGCCCCGCGGUGCAUUAGCUAGUUGGUAAGGUAAAGGCUUACCAAGGCGAUGAUGCAUAGCCGAGUUGAGAGACUGAUCGGCCACAUUGGGACUGAGACACGGCCCAAACUCCUACGGGAGGCAGCAGUAGGGAAUCUUCCACAAUGGACGCAAGUCUGAUGGAGCAACGCCGCGUGAGUGAAGAAGGUUUUCGGAUCGUAAAGCUCUGUUGUUGGUGAAGAAGGAUAGAGGUAGUAACUGGCCUUUAUUUGACGGUAAUCAACCAGAAAGUCACGGCUAACUACGUGCCAGCAGCC
RNAcentral lists this ribosomal RNA (498 nucleotides) under Lactobacillus crispatus. RNAcentral describes it as "bacterial SSU rRNA". It matches the Rfam family "Bacterial small subunit ribosomal RNA", at positions 51 to 516 of the family's 1533-position model. Lineage: Bacteria; Bacillati; Bacillota; Bacilli; Lactobacillales; Lactobacillaceae. The record is from RNAcentral.